AUUGAACGCUGGCGGCAGGCCUAACACAUGCAAGUCGAGCGAGCGGCGGACGGGUGAGUAAUGUAUGGGGAUCUGCCCGAUAGAGGGGGAUAACUACUGGAAACGGUGGCUAAUACCGCAUACUAUCGGAUGAACCCAUCUGGGAUUAGCUAGUAGGUGGGGUAAAGGCUCACCUAGGCGACGAUCUCUAGCUGGUCUGAGAGGAUGAUCAGCCACACGGGGACUGAGAAACGGCAAAGACUCCUACGAGAGGCAGCAGUGGGGAAUAGUGCACAAUGGGCGCAAGCCUGAUGCAGCCAUGCCGCGUGUGUGAAGAAGGCCUUCGGGUUGUAAAGCACGUUCAGCGAGGAGGCGUUACUCGCAGAAGAAGCACCGGCUAACUCCGUGCCAGCAGCCGCGGUAAUUC
Molecule: ribosomal RNA, 406 nt
Filed under: uncultured bacterium
Lineage: Bacteria
Description: partial 16S ribosomal RNA
Rfam family: Bacterial small subunit ribosomal RNA
Source: RNAcentral